AAAGCACCCUGGGUUCAAUCCCCAGUAACAGAAAACAAAACAAAACAAAAUCACAGUAAUUCGAUGUGGAAGUAAAGGCAUCUAAGGACCUGGAGUGCUUUUGGUCACAUUCAGAAGUGAAACACAUGAAAUUUUAUUAAGUUAUUUUCUUCUUGCAUCUUAUGAAAUAUUAUUCUUGUGUUAAGAUUAAUGCUUUGGGGGCUGGGGAUGUGGCUCAAGCGGUAGCGUGCUCGCCUGGCAUGCGUGUGGCCCGGGUUCGAUCCUCAGCACCACAUACAAACAAAGAUGUUGUGUCCGCUGAAAACUAAAAAAUAAAUAUUAAAAACAAAACAAAAAAACCAAGAUUAAUGCUUUAGCCUGGCGCAGUAGUGCACACCUGUAAUCCCAGUGGCUUGGGAGGCUGAGGCAGGAGGAUCCUGAGUUCAAAGCCAGCCUCAGCAAAAGUGAGGUGCCAAGCAACUCAGUGAGACCCUGUCUCUAAAUAAAAUAUAAAAUAGGAUUGGGGAUGUGGCUCAGUGGUCAAGUACUCCUGAGUUCAAUCCCUAGUACCCCACUUAAUGCUAUUGGUUUUCAGCUAUGGCUUUUAUUUAAAAAAAUUCAAGAAGAUAUUACAAAAUAAUUUAUAAAAAGGGAAAUAUUGGGUUUGAGUGAGAACCGCUGAGGUACAGCAUGAGGUAGAAGAUGCCAAAGAGAGCCAGGAAUGGUGGGGCAAGCCUGUGACCUCAGCACCUCGGAAGACUCAGGCAAGAUCACAAGUUCGAGUCAACCUUAGUGAGAUCUUAUCUCAAAGUUUA
This 794-nucleotide long non-coding RNA is filed under the name Marmota monax (woodchuck). Lineage: Eukaryota; Metazoa; Chordata; Mammalia; Rodentia; Sciuridae. The record is from RNAcentral.